CCGGCGCACGGGUGAGUAACACGUAUCCAACCUGCCGUCUACUCUUGGACAGCCUUCUGAAAGGAAGAUUAAUACAAGAUGGCAUCAUGAGUCCGCAUGUUCACAUGAUUAAAGGUAUUCCGGUAGACGAUGGGGAUGCGUUCCAUUAGAUAGUAGGCGGGGUAACGGCCCACCUAGUCUUCGAUGGGUAGGGGUUCUGAGAGGAAGGUCCCCCACAUUGGAACUGAGACACGGUCCAAACUCCUACGGGAGGCAGCAUG
Molecule: ribosomal RNA, 260 nt
Filed under: uncultured bacterium
Lineage: Bacteria
Description: partial 16S ribosomal RNA
Rfam family: Bacterial small subunit ribosomal RNA
Source: RNAcentral